CUCCAGCAAAUCUUACAGCUUUUGUGUGUUUAACUGCAGCACUUUUACUCAGGAGAGGCCAUCUGAGGAUCAGCACCACUGGACAGUGAUUUCUCCUGCUUAAGAGUUUCUUUUGUGACUAUGUCUCAAGCUCAUCUGGGUCUGAUAUCAUGUGUCCAACAGAGCUCUACAUCCCAGGCUGAAAAAUAUCCUUGAAAACCCAUUCAGGAACUGCUGAACCCAAGUGUUUUCUGAAGCCUGUUUCUUUUGCUGAACAGCCAGCAGGUCUGCUCUGUGGAAAAUGUGCUGCUGCAAUUUUCUGGUUGGUGUAGAAAAUUUCACCUCUAUCAAGUAAUCCUCACUGCCUGGUUCACUACCAAAAUUUAAUGGAUCCUACUCAGCAGAGUAGCUGUUGGAUCACCAAUUCUUCUGGAUGUCAGAAGCAUGGCCAAGUCUUCCUCUACAAAAUGGUUGGAAGAUAAGAGUGUACAUCCUUCGGAGAAAAUGGGACUUAAGGCUAUGCAUGCCCUCACUCAAAAAGCCUGGAUUUAAUUCCAAAGCUGUAUUUGCAUUCUAGAGCACAUCUGCGCACUACGUGCAAUAAUAACGUGAUAUUGGUAGGAAAGAGGGACACAUCAUUUCAACUAAACCCAUGGUGGUGAUAAAAGGUGAAUGGUAUUGAAAGCAUUUUUUAAUAAAUGCCACAGCAAACCUUGGCAGCAAAAACUGCUCAGAACAAUAUGUGAAUGUAUCCCUGGAGGAAACACUCAAAACUGCUCCAGAACAUGGCAUUUUUUUCCUGGCAAAAAGAGCCUUGGCCAAGGCGUUUCUCUGAGCCCUGGUUCCCACCCUCUCCUCACCCAGAGGAGCGGAAAGGCUGCCAGCUCCGACAGCAGCAGCGCGGCAUCCGUGUGUCUGGGCUCCACGGCAGUGGGCACGGCAGACACCGGGGGUGAGGAAAUGAGUCUGUCCCACUCCUGGAGACGUGCUUGACUCACUUAUGCAUCGGCAAGUGACUCACUGCCCUUCCCACAGGCUCUUCCUGCCAAGCAGAGGUGACAGGGAAAUAGGAUCCAGUGCCUACGCUUCCCCAGCCUACGUGGGGAGCUCUGUGCCAUCCCCUCCUGCCGAGCCCGGCUGGAAUGGAAGUCCCGGGAAGUGUACAGGAGUAUACAGGAGUGUACAGGAUUGUGCAAUAGUGUACAGGAGUGUACAGUUGUGUGCAAUAGUGUACAGGUGUGUGCAGGAGUGUGCAAUAGUG
This is a long non-coding RNA of Parus major (Great Tit), 1240 nucleotides long. RefSeq lists it as uncharacterized. The transcript is spliced from 3 exons. The record is from RefSeq and is a predicted model, not a curated record. Lineage: Eukaryota; Metazoa; Chordata; Aves; Passeriformes; Paridae.